CGAAAGCCUGACGGAGCAAUACCGCGUGAGGGAGGAAGGCCUGUGGGUUGUAAACCUCUUUUCUCAAGGAAGAAGACAGUGACGGUACUUGAGGAAUCAGCAUCGGCUAACUCCGUGCCAGCAGCCGCGGUAAUACGGAGGAGGCAAGGGUUAUCCGGAAUUAUUGGGCGUAAAGCGUUCGUAGGUGGCUGUUCAAGUCUGCCGUUAAAGACCGGGGCUUAACUCCGGAAAAACUGUGGAAACUGAACAGCUAGAGUAAGGUAGGGGUAAGGGGAAUUCCCGGUGUAGCGGUGAAAUGCGUAGAUAUUGGGAAGAACACCGGUGGCGAAAGCGCUCUACUGGGCUACAACUGACGCUGAUGGACGAAAGCUAGGGGAGCG
RNAcentral lists this ribosomal RNA (380 nucleotides) under uncultured Oscillatoria sp. Its description in RNAcentral is "bacterial SSU rRNA". It matches the Rfam family "Bacterial small subunit ribosomal RNA", at positions 376 to 770 of the family's 1533-position model. Lineage: Bacteria; Bacillati; Cyanobacteriota; Cyanophyceae; Oscillatoriales; Oscillatoriaceae. The record is from RNAcentral.